RNAcentral lists this long non-coding RNA (2231 nucleotides) under Homo sapiens (human). RNAcentral describes it as "HSALNT0309563". Lineage: Eukaryota; Metazoa; Chordata; Mammalia; Primates; Hominidae. The record is from RNAcentral.
GGCGCAGACACAAAGGCAAACAAUCCCAAACACAGGCUUUGCCCUCCUUGUACGUUGAGACAAAGGAAGCAGAAAUGAGCCUGGGAUCACAGUCUGCGCUGAGCAGCAUGGAGCAAACAGGGCGUCCCCUUCUCAGUGACAGAGGGACUUGGGCUGACCAACCGUCUUGGCUUCCCUGGGACUGUCCCAGCUCAGCACUGAAAAUCUCAUGCCGAUGAAAACCCCCGCAGGCCUGGGCAGAUGGGAACCUUGGUCACUCUUGCAGAAACUUGAGUCAGAAAUAAAGCAACUUCUCCCAGGCCAUGUGGAAAAGCCAUGUGUGAACCAGAGGAACAAGUACAACAGAGCCGCUGAGUACACCCCAACACAGAGGAGCCAGCGCUCACCGAGAGAUUUGCCAAGUGGAGUCCUUUUGAGACAUCCAAAUUUCACUGUCUUCAACUUAUUAAUGUGAAACAAAGAAUAACGUAUAUGUGUGUGUAAACACGAAUAGUAACAGCUUAUAUUUGUAAACAAUGUGCCGUGCGCCCAGCACUACAUUAAGCAGUCUCCAUGCAGCACCUCCAUUAAUCCUGGGGAGCACUGUACCCACUUCAAGAGGCCUUUAGAAGAGCAAGUAACAAAAACUGGUGGAAAAAAAGCACACAUUCAACAGGAAGCAACAUCUAGAGACCUUUCUGCCUUCCAGGAUACAAAAAGAAAACAGUUCAUAAACAACUUACAUCUAAACCAGUAAUGUUGUCUCCCUGGCUCAUAGGAGCUGAAGAAGAAUUCCAGUUACUGUAGUAAGAAUAUAAGGAUGUGGACUGGUUUGAGGAUGCUUGAGGCAUGACUAUAGCAAGUACUGCGCAUACAUAUGUGGACAUCGUAAGACACACUCUCUGCUUCCCCAGGCGAAAUCUGUAAUGCUUUGUUUAUUCAUGUUCUAUUCUGCGUUUCCAUGGCACUUUGUUCUUUGUGGUUUUUAGGGUAUCUUUCUCCCUCUCUGCUCAGUGAACUGAGCUGCCUGGACAGGCCUUGAGUUUUCUUAUUCGAUUGUUUUUUGUGUGUGUAUGUUUUGCCUUAGCUCCCUCACUAGUAUAGUCAAGGAGCUUUUCAUGCUUUGAGCCAUUUGUGGCAUUUCAGGAAUUACCUUCAUAGCUUUUGUCCAUUUUCUACUGGCUUGUCUUUUUCAAUGUUUUUAUAGGCAUUUUUUAAAAAACACAGUGUGGAUGUCAUUUGGGAUAGCAGUACUAAUAGUAGCUAAAACUUACUGAAAGCUACUGUGUGCCAGGCAGUCUGCUGAGCACUUUACAUGCUGCCUUUCAUUUUUACACUCAUUUAGGAAACUGAGUCACAGAGAGGCGAGAUAACUUGCCAGAGAUUCAAGCACACUCCAGACACAUCCCUACACCAAUCAGACCUCCUAGCCACCCAGAAACUCUCCUCUGCUCGGAGGCUUCUCUGCUUCCUCCACCUGCCCCUUCGCCUCACUGCCUCCUUUCAAAAUCUGCGGCAUGUAUUUUAGGGAUACUCGUAUCCAUUUUCAGGAAUUCCAUGAUCUACACACAGAUGACACCAAAAUCGGAACAGCAAUGUCCACCCUUCUCCCGAGCCCUAGGUCGGUGCCUCUGUCCACCUGUGUCUCCUGAAACUUCAACACAGACUUCAAAUGGAGUGGCAGAAAACCAGAUUCCUUAGGGAAAGGAAGGUCUCCCAGACGGCAGGAGCGGCAGGCCUUAGGGGCAGCCGCAGGGGCUCGGGAGUCUGAACAUACCCGGUUUGAAUUCAGACUCUGGCACGCCCCAUGCGAUCAUAACAUAGUGCUGCACGUCUCAAGCCACCUAUAAAAACGGGGACAAUAACAAUAUCUGCCUCGGGGUUAAUGGAUUAGAUGUGUCGGUCCAUAGACGUUGCUGGCCACAUAGUUAAGUGGUGCGUUCACUCACUGGGCAUUGAUGGAGCGCCUACUACGUGCCAGGCCUGUUUUACGCGCCGGGGGCCCAGAGGCGCCCAGGUCAGACAAAGUGUAAACGAUUCCGACCAGAGCCCUUCAAUCUGCAUUCCGCUUCGCAGGAAACUCUCCUCCUUUUAUGAUUUUCAGCCGGACUGCCUUCCCUGUUGUUAGUUUGUAACUUUCGCUCCGGCCCCCGCAGCCUCGCGCCUGCCUUCCCUCCACUGUCCUCAGCCAAGGUGUAGUAAAGCGUCUCCGAACGCGGCGCGACCCUCGCCCACGCCCGCUCGCGGGGGGA